GUCCUAGCUGUAAACGAUGCACAUUAGACGUGAUGGGUAUCGACCCCCUUCGUGUCGACGCUAACGCAUUAAAUGUGCCGCCUGGGGAGUACGGCCGCAAGGUUGAAACUCAAAGGAAUUGACGGGGGCCCCGCACAAGCGGUGGAGCAUGUGGUUUAAUUCGACGCAACGCGAAGAACCUUACCUAGGCUUGAACUGCUAGAAGUAGUCCCUAUGAAAGUGGGGGCGGACUGUUAAGUCAGUAACUAGCAGAGGUGCUGCAUGGCUGUCGU
This 272-nucleotide ribosomal RNA is filed under the name uncultured bacterium. RNAcentral's name for it is "partial 16S ribosomal RNA". It matches the Rfam family "Bacterial small subunit ribosomal RNA", at positions 793 to 1055 of the family's 1533-position model. The record is from RNAcentral.